AAGACUCUACUUUCAGGGAUCAUUUCUUUAGUCUGGAACUAGAGGAUUGUGUUUCUACAGAGGUUGGUCUGGCUGUCCAUGAUGAUGAAUGAAGAUGUUUCCUUCAGAGCAGGAAGCUGGUGAGAAGAUGAGAAUCUUCUUCACUGAUGAAGACUGUUCAGUGUUUCUGGAUGUGACACUGAAGGAGGAAACAUUGUCUGAGUGGA
The sequence is a small nucleolar RNA, 206 nucleotides long. Its record names the gene U3. It matches the Rfam family "Small nucleolar RNA U3". From Rfam's summary of the family: Small nucleolar RNAs (snoRNAs) are involved in the processing and modification of rRNA in the nucleolus. There are two main classes of snoRNAs: the box C/D class, and the box H/ACA class. The record is from Ensembl.